RNAcentral lists this ribosomal RNA (491 nucleotides) under uncultured bacterium. RNAcentral's name for it is "partial 16S ribosomal RNA". It matches the Rfam family "Bacterial small subunit ribosomal RNA", at positions 29 to 507 of the family's 1533-position model. The record is from RNAcentral.
GUGAACGCUGGCGGCAGGCCUAACACAUGCAAGUCGCACGGCAGCACAGUAAGAGCUUGCUCUUACGGGUGGCGAGUGGCGGACGGGUGAGGAAUACAUCGGAAUCUACUUUUUCGUGGGGGAUAACGUAGGGAAACUUACGCUAAUACCGCAUACGACCUACGGGUGAAAGCAGGGGAUCUUCGGACCUUGCGCGAUUGAAUGAGCCGAUGUCGGAUUAGCUAGUUGGCGGGGUAAAGGCCCACCAAGGCGACGAUCCGUAGCUGGUCUGAGAGGAUGAUCAGCCACACUGGAACUGAGACACGGUCCAGACUCCUACGGGAGGCAGCAGUGGGGAAUAUUGGACAAUGGGCGCAAGCCUGAUCCAGCCAUACCGCGUGGGUGAAGAAGGCCUUCGGGUUGUAAAGCCCUUUUGUUGGGAAAGAAAAGCAGCAGGUUAAUACCCCGCUGUUCUGACGGUACCCAAAGAAUAAGCACCGGCUAACUUCGUG